UAAACUUACUACUUCUUGUACGUCUACCUCUGACUAGGGUCAGAUGUAAAAUGGGGUUUUGGCCAGAUGUAAAAAGUGUUUUCUGUACUAGUGGUGAUAUGUAGGUGUUGGUGGAAACUUGAGUUUGCAAUUCAGUUGCAGGAUGGAGGGAAACAUGCAGCAGGAGGUAAAGUAGCAAAUGAUGCUUACGCGUCACAUAAUAAUGUCACAUUGGACACUGAGGAAGAGAUUAUAGGCGUCGAGCUUGAUGAAAGUUCUACGCUUAUAAUCUCUUUUUGUUUAUCACUUUCAUGGAUAUGAAUUUUCUUUGCUCAUACAAGUCAUAACAGUAGCACAAAUAAGAACAUUUGUUUUUUUUCCACAGCUCAAUAAAUUACUUCAAAAGGCCAUACUCUAGAAACCCUGAUCAACCUGAACAUGUUAAACCUUUUUUUUUUCAGUACUGUAUUUUCACCUUCAAAAAGGAUAUGAAGCCAUAAAGAAAAAGACAGAAAAGUUAUAGAUAUGAUGAUGGUAAUGUACUAAUGUAACAGGAACAAAGAGAUAAAAGUGAGAGAUGUAAAACAAAUGUCCUAUUCAAAGCAAUCCAUGUUACCCUUAAAAAGGCAAUUUUCUUUUUUACCUCUUUUCCAUUCUCUUUUGAUAAAACUUUGAAUAUUAUUGAUGGUUUACAAAUUUUCUCGAUUCUUGAAACUUUGUCCUCAAUUUGUGAGCUAUGAAGCAUUCACAUAGACACCAGAUACAAUACUGACAUGUCUGAUACCGAACACAUCUUAAUCUGAAGUGUUGGUGCUAC
RNAcentral lists this long non-coding RNA (796 nucleotides) under Trifolium pratense (red clover). Its description in RNAcentral is "long non-coding RNA (TPRA_LNC008830)". The record is from RNAcentral. Lineage: Eukaryota; Viridiplantae; Streptophyta; Magnoliopsida; Fabales; Fabaceae.